GGUUUUCUGCCUAACGAAACCACACCACACCAUGGGUAUCUCUGUUCAACUGGGCCUUUUAAAGGCUUAAAAACCCAACUAACAUCAGAAAUAGAAUCUCACAACACCCCAAAAAACCUCCCAGAAUUGUCGGAUCGUGACCGGCAGCUCCCCAAGUUGUCCGAUCGUGAUGUGGUCCACGAGAAGGCAUGUAGACCGUGAGAAACAUCAAGGAAACGACGUUC
Molecule: long non-coding RNA, 224 nt
Filed under: Elaeis guineensis (African oil palm)
Lineage: Eukaryota; Viridiplantae; Streptophyta; Magnoliopsida; Arecales; Arecaceae
Description: long non-coding RNA (EGUI_LNC004394)
Source: RNAcentral